Molecule: long non-coding RNA, 822 nt
Organism: Talpa occidentalis (Iberian mole)
Lineage: Eukaryota; Metazoa; Chordata; Mammalia; Eulipotyphla; Talpidae
Exons: 4
Source: RefSeq, a predicted model, not a curated record
ACAGGGCCACAGGCUCUCAGGGCCUUGGCGGCGCCCAGGGGAAGCUUUGUGGACGGUCACACACAGGCCUCGCGCUCACGGUGGGGACGGUGGCCACAGGCCUUUCAGCACUUGAGCCGUCGUCAGUAGCUUCUGCAACCAGUGCUGGGUCUCCUUUACCUUGUCCUUCCGUUCCUGCUCAGAGAGCCAGGCAGGAUUCUUUCUAAGCUUCCCUUCAAGUUCUGAAACCAGGGCCUGCUUGGAGACAUUCCGGAAGGUGUGAGCUUCACCACCACUGGGUUGUCAAGGCUUCUGAGGGGCCAACAGUUGUCUGCACAGCUCUGUCAGGCAUGUGUCUUGUAACUGAGCCUCCAGUAAAGCCUUCUUCAGUGCGAGGACAGGAGAUGUACAGCAGCAGGACUUCCCAAACCUGUGCGCUGAUCUCUGACUCGCCUCAUGUGAACCCAGACCAGAUGGCAUGUACAAAAGCGCCUUGAGGUGCUGGGUCUCCAGCUUGCUUGCUCUGGGAGGGAGAAGAGGGUUAAGUUUGUUUGAUAUCGCUAGAACAGGUUGAGCCUCGGCCUAACGGAGAGAGGGUCACUCGCAGUGGACAAGGCCGUCUGAUGCCAUUUCUAGGGGAGGCCUUUGCUUCUUUGCUCUUGAGCAUCUGGUUCUUUUAUUAGAAGACAGUGAAGGGGUUGGUGAUGGAGUGAGGAGAGGGCUUCGGAGACAAGGCAGGUGUUGGCAGGCCCACUGCAGAGGCACGUUUGCCUCUGGCGAGGACACACGUGCCUGAGAGUCAUAUGUGUUUUCUCUGUGGUGUUGGCUCCUACAAAGCCGGAA